RNAcentral lists this ribosomal RNA (492 nucleotides) under uncultured bacterium. RNAcentral describes it as "partial 16S ribosomal RNA". It matches the Rfam family "Bacterial small subunit ribosomal RNA", at positions 29 to 507 of the family's 1533-position model. The record is from RNAcentral.
AGUGAACGCUGGCGGUAGGCCUAACACAUGCAAGUCGAACGGCAGCACAGUAAGAGCUUGCUCUUACGGGUGGCGAGUGGCGGACGGGUGAGGAAUACAUCGGAAUCUACUUUUUCGUGGGGGAUAACGUAGGGAAACUUACGCUAAUACCGCAUACGACCUACGGGUGAAAGCAGGGGAUCUUCGGACCUUGCGCGAUUGAAUGAGCCGAUGUCGGAUUAGCUAGUUGGCGGGGCAAAGGCCCACCAAGGCGACGAUCCGUAGCUGGUCUGAGAGGAUGAGCAGCCACACUGGAACUGAGACACGGUCCAGACUCCUACGGGAGGCAGCAGUGGGGAAUAUUGGACAAUGGGCGCAAGCCUGAUCCAGCCAUACCGCGUGGGUGAAGAAGGCCUUCGGGUUGUAAAGCCCUUUUGUUGGGAAAGAAAAGCAGCAGGUUAAUACCCCGCUGUUCUGACGGUACCCAAAGAAUAAGCACCGGCUAACUUCGUG